AUGGGCCGUCUCCGAUCUCGGGUCCUCCAACGGCACCCUCCUCAACGGCAAGCCCUCGUGCCCUCCGUUCCCGCCCCGCUUUCCCACGGGGACCUAAUCAAGGUCGGCGAUUCGACCGUGCUCGCCGUCUCCAUCGCGCCUGAUUCGGAUCCCAAGCCUGCCGCCAACCCCAGUUCCAGGCGCUCCUCGCGCCAGACGGCGGCGGUGGCACCGAUGGUGGCGGAGGAGAAGCCCCCUGCGGUGACCCGCCGUGGCGCACGGAAGAAAGCGCCGCCGGCCGCCCAGCACCCCGACACGCAGAAGGAAGAUCCACAGGCAGAGGGAGUGGCGGUGGAUGAGAAGCCCCAGGUGGUUACGCGCCGGGGAGGACGGCAGAAGCUGGCUGCAGCAGAGCCCCUAUUUGAGAUUGAGGAGACUGUGGAGGCGCCUCGCCGUGGAGAGCAGAUGAAGCCCGUGGAGCCUUCUGCACCAGAGAAUGAGGAGGUGGAUAAGGAGGAGGCCACGGCGGUGACGCGCCGUGGCAGACGGAAGAAUGCUGCGCAGGCCCCUGAACCAGAGAAGGCCACAGCGGUGACACGCCGUGGCAGGCAGAAGAAUGUUGUGGAGCCCUCAGAGAAGGAAAAGGAGGAGGCCACAGCGGUGACACGCCGUGGCAGGCAGAAGAAUGUUGUGGAGCCCUCAGAGAAGGAAAAGGAGGAGGCCACAGUGGUGACACGCCGUGGCAGGCAGAAGAAUGUUGUGCAGCUCCCUGAACCAGAGAAGGAAAAGGAGGAAGAGGCCACAGUGGUGACGCGCCGUGGCAGGCAGAAGAAUGUUGUGGAGCCCCCUAAACCGGAGAAGGAAGAGGAGGAGGAAGCCCCGGUGGUGACAAACCGCAGAGGGAGGAAGAAGAGUGUGGUGACGGACGCCCCUCCGCAAUUGCCUCCAAAGAUGAGGUCAGUAAGGGGCCGUGGCAAAAAGGCUAAUGCAAGCGACAUGGUUCUUGAGGAUGUGGAAGAGCAGGGAGGAAAUGAGUUGGCUGUAUCAAGAGUUCGUCCUGAGGACCUGCUCGUUUCGACGACAUUGAAGGGUGCUAAGGCGCAGAAGAGGGAUAAGGUGGCAUCUGGGGAUGGAGACGUAGAAGGGGCUGCAGUUUCAUUGGAGGAGAAAGUGCCGAAGGGGAGGGCCAGUGCUCGGCUUUCCGCUUUCGAUAAUGGUGCCAAUGCGGCUGCAGUGCCCAUUGAAGAGAUGGAGGAGGCUGUGGAUGCAACGCUCCGAGGGAGGCGGAAGAAGGCCGUUGAACCUCAUGAACCAGAGAAGGACGAGGAGGAGGAGACCAUGGUGGUGACACGUCGCGGGAGGCGGAAGAAGAACAUGGAACCUCAUGAACCAGAGAAGAAAGAGAAGGAGGACAAAGCCCCAGUGGUGAUCCACCAUGGCGCAACGAAGAAGAAUGAGGCGGCAGUUGCUCCUGUAUCACUGCCUCCAAAGAGGAAGUCUGCAAGGGGCCGGGGAAGGCCUACAAGGGCCAGUGCAAUGAACACAGUUCUUGAGGAGGAGGAGGAGCAGGGGGGAAAUAAGUUGAGUGCGUCAAGAGCACGCACAGGGAAGCCAUUGACUUCGACGACGGUGAAGAAGGGGGAUAAGGCAACAGCUGUGGAUGGAGAGGUCAAAAGAACUGCAAAGGCGUUGGAGGAGAAAUUACCAAAGAGGAGGGCCGUUAAGCUUGCUGCUAACAAUAUCUCUUAUGCGGCUGCAGCCGAGCCCACUGAAGAGAUGGAGGAGGCUACAGAAGCGUCUCACCAGGGGGGGCAGAAAGCCAUGGAGCACCCUGAACUAGAGAAUGAUGAGGAUGCAACCAUGGUGACAUGCCGUGGGGAGCGGAAGAGGGCUGCUGUGGUGAAGCGCCGUGUCGCCGGGAAAAAGGAUGUGGUGGCAGUGAUGAGGUCUGGAAGGGGGCGAGGAAGGGUUGGAAGGACUAGUGCAAGGAAUAACCUUCCUGAGGAAGGCAACAUGGUGGUAGAAAAGGAAAAUGAAUUGCCUGUGCCAAGAGAGCUGGCAGGGAAUCUGCCAGUUGCGACCGUGGUGAAUGGGGGUGAGGAUAGAGAAGUCAAAGGAACCAAAAAAGCAGUAGAGUCUGAAUUGCCAAAGGGGAGGGCCAGUGCCCAGUCUUCUUCCGACAACAAGUGUGAGGAGGAACAGGGUAGUGCGAACGGUUCUUCUAGAGUUGCCAGUGCCCAGUCUUCUUCCGGCAACAAGGGUGGUGCGAAUGGUUCUUCUAGAGUUGAUUCAGGAUCUAAUGGAAUCCCCAACACAACAAGCAAAUACAGAGAGGAUAGAAAACUGAAGCCGUACUCGACUCCCUUUGAUGUCAGACUGGAUAGAGCUCUGAAGAAAUACUCUGCAUGA
Molecule: ribosomal RNA, 2388 nt
Filed under: Triticum aestivum (bread wheat)
Lineage: Eukaryota; Viridiplantae; Streptophyta; Magnoliopsida; Poales; Poaceae
Description: partial small subunit ribosomal RNA
Source: RNAcentral